This is a non-coding RNA of Equus caballus (horse), 10313 nucleotides long. The record is from RefSeq and is a predicted model, not a curated record. NCBI's taxonomy places the organism in Eukaryota, Metazoa, Chordata, Mammalia, Perissodactyla, Equidae.
UUAUUCUGUCUCCUGUGAAUUUAAUUCCUAGCCUGGCCAGAAGGACCUAGAGUGGGUAGAGGAAAUAUCUUCUCCCCCAACAACUUCUUCAAUUCUGAACACCAAUCUACCCCAAAAAAGUACAGACUAGGGAUUUAUUUAUCUACAAAAAACCUUCAUGUCUUUGAGGUUGCACAUUGCUGAUAAAGAAUAUUCAUUGCCCUUCUCUAUCUAUUACCCCUUUCUUUCUUUAGUAUUACCAUUUCUCAAAUAUUAGGUGGGCAUGUUGCUUCCAAGCUAGAGACUAUGUUCCCCAGCCCCUUUGCAGCUAAGUUCUAUAUUCCCCAGCAUCUUUUGCAGCCAAUAGAAUGAACUAAAGUGAUGUGAGAGCCACUUAAGCCACUUCUUAUUUUUCCCUUUCUGAGGGCUGGGACUCAGAUGUGUUGGUGGUGAACUGGCUUAGAAUAUACAGCCAAGGUUAACACCCUAGAUCAUGGAGCAGUAAGCUAGAAUGUGCCUAGGUCCCUGAGCUGUCUUGUGGAGCAGGCCCACCUUGACACCCUGGACUGCCCUCCAACUCAGACUUUUCUCUCAGAGAAAAAUCACCUAUCUUGUUUAAGCCAUUUUUAUUUCUAUCUCUCUUAAAGUAGUGUAGGGGAGGAACAUUACACCCUCCCCCCUUGGUUCUUAUAAUUCUCCUCUUGGUUCGAAUAAUAAAAUGAUGUAAGGUAGGUUAACAGGAGAAAAUCAAAUAAAGAUUAAUACAUACACACUGGAAAUUCACAUAAGCAUGAAAAAUCCCAAAGACAGUUAGGCAAAAGAAGAUACAUAUGGAAUUCUGGACUAAGGAAAAUGGGACAGGAGUCUGGCCUUCAAAGGGAAAGGAGUCAAUUGGCAGGAAGAUAAAAGAGUUAACGUUUGGUAAACAAACGUUUGCUGGGCCGUCUGGAGACACUGGGACACACAGAAGACUUAAUCAAAGGGUCCUUGCUAGGCUCCUCCCUGUCCACCACACCCAGCUUACUAUAUUAUCUUCGUCUACGGUGAGAGUGCCUUCCUGGAACAGGCCUUCUGUCUUAAAUUCUUUUAGGAGGUUAGGGAGAAGGUCAAACUUGCUUUCUGAGUCUUUUGUUCUUAAAUAUAAUCUUAGGCAACAAACAAUGAUGCCAUGCCCUAUGUCAGUGCCUAAAACAAUCCUCAAAUGUAUCAAGAGAUACAUUUUGGGGUGGCAAAUUCUGCUCCCCUACAAUAGCCAACUAGCAUCCUAAUCAAUAAAAUAUUACUAACUAAUUCAUUCUAUGACUUUCCUGCUCACUAUUUAUCUGAGAUCACUUAAAAAGUUGGCGUGUGGCUGAUAAACGUCUUGUUGAAACACAAAGUCUAGUCCACAGAUCCACUAGAAAAAAAUUUUUAAAACUUGUGCUAAUUGCAUUGCACUGCUCUUCAGUUAACCUGCUUAUAUUUUAAUGCAUUCUGCGAGAUAAUUUACUAAACUGAAACCUUGGAGCACAAGUGCAGUUACUUAAAAACAGGAUGUGAUUUUUUUUCCAGGCAACCACCUUAAAUUAAAUUUUUAGGUCUCUCAAAUUUGCUUUUAUCUCUUUAUUUUUAACGUCACAUAAUAAAAAUUAAAUUCUGUUACUAACAUACAAGAUGAAAUUCUGUUACUAGCACAAGCAUAGCAAACAUCCAAGAUAUUUGUCAACUAUAAACAGUGGCGAAAUAGCAGUGUGUCAUAUGUCUAUCUGCUGGGAAUUUUACUUCCAGCACAGCAAGAACUCACAGUGUAUGCCAUCAUUGCUUUAAUCUUCAUCAUCCCAAGAAUGUUCACUAUACCAUCAUUAGUGAGGUAUGAACAAGGCCUGCAACUCUAGACUGAUAAGAUUCACUUUGCAAUUACUGACUGCUUUCUGUUAUUUGUUCGUCUCUUGUAUUGGUCAUCGAGAAUGAGAUUUGCAAGCAAUUUUACAAGAAGCCCUACAAAGGACUCUAAAUUUGAAUUAUUAUGUAACAUUGCUAUAUUUCCCAAGACUUUUCUGUUGUUCCUUUAUCCAUACAUCCAUUCACUGUUUCAUUCAACAAAACUUUGUUGAGCUACAUUCUGGUUCCAGGAGAUACAACAAUGAAUGACACAGUUUUUCUCCCAGUGAUGCUAACAGAGUCUUGGAGAAAUAGGUAAAGAAAAUAAUUAUGUGAGUAAAUGGAGAAAAUUUCAAUCACCAAAAUUUCUUUGUGGAAGGCAUUGCCUUGUUGGAAGAAAUACAUGGCUGUGACCUCCAAAUUUCAUGCUCCAAUUUAAAAAAAUGUUGGUUCAGGGCCAGCCUGGUGGUGUAGUGGUUAAGUUUGCAUGCUCUGCGUCAGUGGCCCAGGGUUCACAAGUUCUGAUCCUGGCCACAGACCUACCACCGCUCCUCAAACAACACUGUAGCGGCAUCCCACAUAAAAUGGAGGAAGAUGGUCACAGAUGUUAGCUCAGCAACAAUUUUCCACAAGCAAAAAGAGAAAGUUUGGCAACAGAUGUUAGCUCAAGGCCAAUCUUCCGCACCAAAAAAAAAAAAGCUGGUUAUAAAGAAUGUAUAUCCUGCUAACUGAUUAAAUUAGUAAGGGAAAUGUGUGUAGAGCUGAAGCAGAGCUGAUUUCUUAUGCAAAAUAGAGAACCAGCAAAAAGGAGGUUGCUUUUAACUUAUUACAUUUCAACAAUCUUUUUCUGGAUUUAGUAAGAGGUUCAACAGACUGGAGGGCAGAAUUCAAAGACAGUGAGAAAAAAGAUCAAGAAGCUCUUGGUAGGUUGGGCCCAAGUUGUGACGAGUCCCCUGUGCUCUAUUCAGUGCUUUGGACCUUAUCCUACAGUGAGUGAAUUGAAGGAUUGUAAGAAGAGGAAUGAGAAUCAGACGUGCGUUUACAAUGGUCAUCCUAGCAGCAUUGGAAUGGAGGCCAUUGCCAUGGAGAGGCAACAACCACGAGGCCACGCUCUAAGUCAGUGCCUUCCUGCCGGGAAGAGAGGAGGCUCUGAAAGGAUCUCUCUGCACCCGCUCGGUUGGUUGUGGGAGAUGACAAAGAACCUGGGAUCUAGGAUAACGCUCAGGAUCCUUGCUGGAAAGCUUGGUGUCGAGUGAACGGUGCAGGAUCAAGAAAGCAGUGUUUUGUCUUCUUUACUUUUCUAUCUUUUCCUUUCUUUUCUUAACAACGGGAGAGAUCUGACCACUAUUUGUUAAGCUGAAAGGAAGGAGCCAGUGGAGUGAUCCCACAGUGACAGCUAACGCUGGGAAAAUUCUACAGUCCCAUUUUAACUACAAGAUGUGGAAGAAGACACAGAAGACCAAGGGGAAUGGAGUCGAUGGGUCAUAGGGCACAAAUGCUCUUUCCCGGAAGGUUUGAGAGGACCCGGGUGUGUACAUCCUUGCCAACAAUAGGUACCAUGCUAUUUUUAAAUCUUUAUUUUCAUUAAAAAUAAUAUCUUGUUAUAAUUUAUAUUUUUCUUAUUGGAUAUUUUCAUAUCUUAAUUUGUCAUUUCUGUCUUCACUUGUUCACUCUCUUCGCCUGUUUCUCUAUUGAGGACAUUGUCUUUCUUUUAUUUAAAUUGUAAGAGCCCUUUUUGUACAGAAUAUCAAUUCAAAAGUUGAGAAUAUAUUAAGGGAUAAAUGAGCAAUAUCUCUUUGAUCUAAAAUACCUGCAACAGGAUGGAGAAAAUCUUAUUCAUUAGAAUUCCUGAGGAGUUAGUAGGGGAGUAGUGUAUUUCUCUGCAGUCUGUACGUGAAAAGGUGGCUUUGGAGCUUGGAUUUUUGGAAGUUUGAGGCACAGAAUAGGCAUGAGAAAGAUAGUAGAGAGUUGUGGGUGUCUGAUGUGGUUGGAAGCAAUCUCAAUGUCCAGCAAUAGAAGACUGGGUGAGUAAAUUACAAUACAAUCCUCAUAAUGAGAUGCUAUGCCAUUGUAAUGCUGUCAGCUUCUAAAACAGCCCCCAGUGACACCGGCCCCUGGUCUUUGUGCCUUCGUUUCAUCCCCUCCCCUUGAGCGUUGGCUGGACACAGUGAUUUGCUUCUAACCAACAGAAUAUGGCAAAAGUGAUGUGAUGUUAACUCUGAGAUUGGGUUACAAAGACUCUGGCUUCUGUUUCGGUCACUCCCUCUUGCUCCCUCACUUCCUCUAAUAGAAGCCAGCUGCUGGGAGUUACUCUGUGGAGAAGCCCACAUGGCAAAGGACUAAGGGUGGCUCCAGCCAACAAUGAGUGAGAAACUGAGAUCUCAGUCCGGUGGGCCAGUAAGCAAUGCAAUCCUGCCAACAGGCAUGUACGUGAGCUUGCAACCAAAUCCUGCCCCCAUUGUGCCUUGAGAUUUCUGCAGGCCCAAACCACAUAAAUUUUUGUUGCUUUAAGUCACUAAGUUUUGGGGUUUUAAUGGAGCAGUCAUUAAAAAUGAUAAUGUAGAUGUGAGGGGUAGGAGCGUGACUGUGUGUAUAUAUAGGCUGUCCUGCUGCAACCCAUGUUUCUGUACACGUAUUUCUGUAUAUACAUGACUGAUAAAUGGUAGAAUUAUUUCAGGAUAAAAUGGAAUCAUGUUGGUUCAUAUGCAAUUUUUUCUAGAUAAGUAGAGCCAGUAUAGGAGGGUAGACUUCUAACCAUCAUCUGCAAAGGAAAAACCAUCUGCUCAGCAGCUGCAUUGACAGCAGGAGCCCCUUGGUGCAUAUUUUAAGAAACUUAAAACAAGUGCCUGAGAAUAUGAAAUAUGCACAAAGUUAUCUAUUAUGGCAUAGUUUAAAAGAUUUAUGAAAAGAAAGGACUGCAAACAACCCAAACUCUAUCAAUAUAAGAUUGAUUAAACAAACCAUGGUAUAUCCACCAAUGGAGUACUACGCAGCCAUAAGAACUGAUGACAUUCAGUAUACUAAUGUACAGUCUCUAGGAUUUAGCUAUUGAGUGAAAUACAGCAAGGAGCUGAACAGUAAGCCUUUUGUGCAAUAAAGGGGAAAUCUAAUAUGUAUACAUAUUUGCUAAUAUUUUCAAAAAGAAGCUAUAGAAGUUAUCCAAAACUAAUUGAAAACAAAACAACCAAAUCAAAUUUGUGGAUUUUCCUUGAACCCAGAUUUGAAGAAAGCAACUAUGAACAGAUUUUUUUUUAGAGGUCAGCCCAGCGGCACAGCAGUUAAGUUCGCAUGUUCCACUUUGGCGUCCCAGGCUUUGCCAGUUCGGAUUCCCAGUGGAGACAUACACACCGUUUGUCGAGCCAUGCUGUGGCUGCACACAGAAUGAGUGACGUCAACAAUAGAAAUUUAUUUCCUCACAGCUCUGGAGGCUAGAAGUCCAAGAUCAAGGUGCCAGCAGGAUCAGUUUCUGGUGAGCACUCACCUCCUAGCUUGUAGAUGGCCACCUUCUCACCGUGUCCUCACACAGCAGAGAGAGAGACAGCAAGCUCUCUGGUGUCUCUUCUUAUAAGGACACUAAUCCCAUCAUGAGGGCCCAAUCCUAAUGGCCACAUCUAAACCUAAUUGACUCCCAGAGGCCCCAUCUCCAAAUGCCAUCACUUGGGAGUUACAGUUUCAACAUACGAAUUUUAAGGGAACACGGUUCAGUCCACAGCACCUUCCUACUCACACGCCCAGACAGGCACAGCUCUCAGCUCAUGGCCAGGUUCACUGGCGGCCCCACGGGCUCAGAGCUCUGCCUUCAUCUGUGUUGUGUACACCCCUGCUGGGCACACUCCUUCCAGGUCUCCUUAAAGGGUUGAAGGCAUUGCCAGCUAUUGUUCUGCAUUUUUUUACAUCUGACAUGCCAGCCGAUGGUCACGCAGAAUUGUCUGCCUGGUUGUCCACGUUACUCCCCAGGUACCAAUGAUGGUUUUUGCUAGUGCUCUGGUUACAAAUUUGCUUGGAGUUUGAACACCCUGCCCUCACCUUAUUUUCCAGGUAAGCCCUGUCAUUUUUAAUGUGGGGCUUUGCGAAAGACAAGGUUUUUCGGGAACACAUACGUUGCAUUUUGCCAGAAAUGCCUGUAUAUGCAAAAAACUGCACAGAAAAGAGUGAGUUAGCAAAUAGUUUAUAUAUAUAAUAAUUCAAUUUUUGUUAAAACACACAUAUAUAUGGAUAGGAGAAAAGAUUUUUGUAGUUGUUUAUACGAGUUUUCUAAUUGUUCUAUAUGCAUUUUUUGUGUUUAUAAAGUAAAUGACAAGAGUUUUUAAAAUUAAAAAGCAAUUAACAGCCCAGAGUCCAACCAUUUAGACAACUUAGAAAAGGCAGAUUCAAGGGCUAAGAGAUGGAGGUAAAAUAAAUUCUAUGACCACCUGUGGCUUAGAAAGUCUCAACACUCCGCUCUGAGGGUCUCUGGACAAGACCUCUCCAGGAACUCCACACCUGCAGAAGGUAAAUUGCGCUUUGCCAGGGUGAAGAGCAGACUGGGCUAAGAGUAGGUGCUGACUCUUCUGCAUCCUAUUUUAUUUUUUUUGACAAAGGCUUUGAGAAGCCAGAAAUCUGACAAUGUUAUUAGGCAACACCUUAAAUUGAAAGGGGGCAAAAAAACUCAGUUUAUCAAAAAACACCUUGUCCUGUGAUAGUCACCUUAAAUAUAUCACCUGCACAAUAUUUCUUGAUAUAUUUUCAACUGUCUUUGCUUUAUAGAUGAGGACAUUGACUCAGAGAAUUUAAGUAGCUUGGUGAGGUUAUGAAGCUGGUAAGAAGAGCAAGAAUUUCAUCCUACUUUUGUCCUUAAAAUUUGUAUUUCAGAGAAAAAUCACACACCAGUAUAGAUCAAAUUAUUUUAUAAGCAGUUUAUUUUCUCAAAAUUGGACUGCCUGUGUGACUUUGGGAAACAUCAGUUACCCUUUUUAUAUUCAGGUAACCCGUAAUAUCUCUUUCCGUUUUAUGAUUCUGAUAAUGACCAUACAAAGAUGUAUGGUGAAUUCUUGACGCUCCUUGCCCCUAGAAUUGGAGGAAGCCCACUUGGUAAGAGGCACAUAGCCAACAGAAGCCCAGGAGGUGCCUGUCCCGUCUCCUCCUGACAACAGGCACUGCGGCACUGCCUCCCCUCCGAAGCCCCACACAGGGCCCUAGGGCACAACACACAGAUGGCAGUCUCUCCUCCCAUCCUUCUCUGUCCUUCUCCCUUCUCCCUGGGCCCUAAAUACAGGUGGCAUUUUUUUAUGACCAUAAAAAUUAUGCCAUUAUGCUAAUCAUUACAUUUUUGAAUUGUUUGAAUGUUUUAAUUUCUAAUAUUUCACAGAUCUCAAUCAAGGUCUUAUGGCAUUGCAAAGCUAACAUCUUAAAGACCUCAUAAAAGCUCACUUUCUCUGUCCCUUCCAGUACUUUGCACUUUCCAUCUCUUCUGAAUUACUAGCUUUCAUACAUGUGUAACCCGCUGACCCUUGGGAAGUUCCGAUGAACACACACUAGUUUACUGUCACUGCUGAGCUAUUUCUCUUCUUUUGAUUCUGCCCCACACAUCCUCUCCCCUUCCAUUUACCAUUCUCCUUGCUGCCCAUGCUGCCUUCUCCUUAGGUCAUAAGCACUGGAGGUCAGGGGCACUGGAAACAGUAGGACUCUAUCUGCCAGCCCUUUCAUACACCUAGAGCACAAAGAUCAUCCUUAAAGAAAGCACUGUAGUCCCCUCAUCAUCUAAUGCCUUCUAAAUUAUCCCCCCCAAAAUCAGUUACAGUAAAGAUAAUUCAAUAUGGAGUAAUGUUACUAUAUUCUGGUAUUUGAAAAAUUAAUAAUACCGGCAUAAAUGAUAACUCUCAGCUCUUCAUAUAGAAAAUCCCAUUUCCCUAGCAGGCCAUCUAGGACAACGGUCUUCAUUGUGCUGGUUUGAGUGCACGCAUAUGAAACCACAGAGCUGGCCUCCAUCUCCCACAGGGUCUACUGCGUACCAGAUGCCAAGGAAGACAAAGAGGCUUCACACAAGAGCCGAAAAACAUUUCACUUCUUAAAAGCAAUGCCUGCACAAGAAAAACUUCUCUUCCAGUGGAAUGAGAUUGCUUGAACACCCGCUUCUCAUAUUCUUCUUUCCCAUGAUUUCGGCUGUUUGCCCAGUUUCCAGGCUCAUCCUGUGACCACAGCUCUGCUGCAACUAUUCAAAUCUCCACAUUUUCUCAUGACUCCUAUUCUCAAUCUUGACCGCCCCAGGGUCCUGCCUCUGGGCUCCCAGCCUCAACCUGAUGCCCACUUGGUGCUUUCUGGUUCUGACCAUGUUCAACAACCAGCCCUGGGUAGUAGAGCAUCAUCCUGGACACAUAGUAAGCUGUCUAAUUAAUUAACCUUGAGGAAUAUUAUUCGGUAUAGUCACAUUAAGGCCUUGUUAAAAAAAAUUAUUCUCACGCUCGUUAAAUGUACAGGAGAUAUUAUUCACAACUAUCGUGAUAGAUGUCAAAGACAAUCACAACAGGGAGGAGAGAUCCAGCUCAGAACCGAAGAUGGCAAAGACAGCUGAGGAUUUGUAGCCAAGGAGCAGAGUUGGGGGACAGGGUGUCGGUGGAUAGAAAAUUACUAAGAGAAGACUUCUAGGGGAGGGGAUUUUUGCUAAGCCAACGUAGAAUUCCUGCCAGAGGCAGAUCAAGGUGAUGAAAUGUUGAGAGUGGGGCAUGGGGAAUUUGAUCAGGUAUCAUGGGUAGCGGAUGCCCUCUCAAGUGACUUAGCAGGAUACUUGCUAAAACUGGACUCGGCAGGCCCAAGACAGGACCCAAGGACAAAGACUAGUCAAAAACAGGGCUCAGGGGAGGCUGUCUACAGUUUGGUCAAAGAGAUAGCCUUUGUCACCUCAAAUCAGCAUUUGUAAGCAAAAAGCAGGAAAGAAGGAAGUUAAUAGGGUUUUAAUGACUGUCUGAUUGUGACACUAUGUCAUUACAUGGUACUUUGUAUCUAUUAUCUCACACAAUCCUAAGUAAUAUAAGGAAGGUGUCAUUAUCCUCACCUUACAUGUGAAGAAAUUGAGGCUCAAAGAAAUUAAAUAAUAGACCUGCGAUCAGAAGACCUGCAUUAGAUGUUGACUUUUUCCUGUAAUCUUUCACCAUCUCUACUGACCUUAAACAAGUCACUAAACCCCUCUCAGUCUCAGUUCAUGUGCAAAAUGGAGACAAUACACCUUCCUCUCUGGUCUUUUAUCAACUAUUACCUAUGCGGGGAUGACUCCAGACUCUCUCUCUCUCAAAUUCUAUUUCUAGAAUUAUAUCUCCAAAUGGCUACCUGAUAGAUGCUCCUGAAAUUAAAUGUCCCAAACUGAACUCAUUAUCUUGCUUCAAAACAUCUGCUCUGCUUCCUAAGUUCUUAGUCUCAUUAACUGCUAGUUAGGUCACUUUCCAGGCUGGAAACGUCAGAGUCACACUCAACUCCAGGCACUCAUGACUCCCAUACCCAGACUCACAUACUUCCAUAAACAGAGACCUAAUUUCCCAAAGCCACCUCCUCCAUUGUACCUUAUGGCCGCUCUGUUCAUGCCCUCAUCAUGUCCCCUUGACUGCAAAUGAUAGUCUUCUGGUAGCCUCUGUACCAACAAUCACUAUCUUCCCCCUUCUGUCCUCUUAAUUAUCAUUACUGUCAUAUCUAUUAAAAGUGAAUCUGAUCAUGUCACUGUGCUGCUUAAAAACUCUGUUGGCCUUCACUGCCUACCAGUGAAAUCCAAAGUCCUUAGUGAGGCCUUCCAGGCUGAUUCACAGUCAGCCUCAACUUCUUGCGAGCACAGCCUCUAACUGCCCCUCCCUACUGAGCAUCUAUUCAGGGAAUUCUCCCUCUGUGUCACCUGUUCCCUCUCUGAAAUGCCCAUCCCCUAAUUUAGCCCCUGGUAAAAUGCCUUCAAGAUCCAGGUCAAAGCCUGAAUUCCUUUGGCACCAUCUCCCCUCCUCUAGACAUCCACAGCACUUUCGUUCAUAGCUGUAGCACAGCCCUUACCCUCAAAGGAAGUUAGUGUCUCAUACAUCUGUUUCUCCCAUCAAACUAGAAGCAUCUUGGAUACAAAGACCAUAUGUGAGUUACACAUGUCCCCUGAGCCUUCCUGAAUCUAAAAUAUCAUUGCACCUACAAUAUAUUUCUUAAGCCACAAGAUUAUAGAAAAUAAGACAGUUCACUUUGCCCAUUAUUUAAAAUAAAGAAAAACAAAGACAACCACAAUUCAAUGUGCCACGUUAAUUCAAACUCAGUAAGGUUCCUAUUCACUUAAAAUUAAGGAGAAACAUUCAAAAAACUUUUCCCCUAGGAUUAAAAGACAUUAUUGUAUAAUUAUAGAUCACAUUUUAAAAAUUAAAGUGUGUUGCUUCUUUGGGGAUUUGAUUUCUUUCAUUCUAUUUACUAUUUUUAUAGCAUGUACGAUAAGCCACCAAAAGUCCUUUCCUAAGUACUUACUAGAAUAAAAGAAAUUUAAG